Long non-coding RNA from Thalassophryne amazonica, 571 nucleotides. RefSeq lists it as uncharacterized. The transcript has 3 exons. Lineage: Eukaryota; Metazoa; Chordata; Actinopteri; Batrachoidiformes; Batrachoididae. The record is from RefSeq and is a predicted model, not a curated record.
AUCAAUGUUCGAUAGGAAAAAUGUGGAGCAUGUAAAGACAUCAGAUCAUUCAAUUAACAAUUUAGUGCAUAAAAUGUCACAAAAGAAUGAACAAUGACAUCACAACUUCCCAGAAUUCAACAUGACGUCUUCAAACAUGCUGCGGUAGCUGAACAGAUGGAACUUUAACGAUAAUUAGAUUACACCGACACAAACAGAACAUCCUGACAUUGAACUUGAACUGUGAAUGUUUUAUCCAGUGGAUUUUUUGCAUAAAUAUAUUUGGCUCGUAAAAUACCCCCAAAUUAACAACCAACCUCUGCUGGUGAAAAACGUCACUUAUUUCCCUCAGUAUUUGAGGUAAAUGUUGUAUUAUACUGAAAUUAGGAAAUGUGGGAGUGAAUCGGAUUUGGUAAUAAAAUGUGAAAUACAGAGUGAGCUUGUCAUUACAAAAGUGACUUUGAUUACUUUCAAUUUUUAAAAGAAAUUGAGGUUGGAGGAUUAAAAAUUAAGAAAAAUCUUUUUUUUAUGAUUAUUGCAAUACAUACACUGGAUCUAGAAAGUCAACACACCCUUUGGAAAUAAAAAUUCU